UGUGUGUUAAGUCAUAGAUAAUAAAUUAAUAAAUCAUGUGUUUUUAAUUAAGAUGCAGAAUAAUUUUUGAUGAAUAAGGGAUGGCCCACUUUACCUGAAAAUAUUUUUUCUGGAGUGCAUGAUCUAAAAGUAUUUAUUGGUAUAUACCAUGCAAAUAAAAUAUUAUAAAUGAAAUAUUAUAGCUGGACAUUAACAAAAGUCAUAAAGAAAAAAAGGUGGAAAAAAAACAUCUAGCUAUCUAAAUUAUGUUUUAUAAAAAGUGGCCCACUUUACCUGCAAUCACCCUAAAUAAAAAUGAAUACUCCUUUUUUCAGUAAGUCAUAUUAUAGAUUAUUCUAACAUUACAUCCUGUUCUAGAGGGUCACAAUUUUGGAUCAAUUUUGAAACUUUAUUUUAGCUUGGGUAGAAAAAAUAGUGUAAUAAAAAUAAGUGCAUGAGAGUAAUACACACAAUUCACCACAGAAUGGCGAGAUUCGGCUAAAUUCUUCUGUAACAGUUUUGAAGUAUAUCUACUAGGUUAUACAUUCAUUAAACUGCCAUGUUUUUACUCAGCUUAGAGAUAUUAUUUCUACUAAAAGGCGAUGUAAAUGAUUUGAUGUCACAAUAACAAUUGUAUGUCUCUGCCUGAUUUUAUAAGUUUAUAACUGUCUGAUUUUUUUUAAAUAUAACUUUCCAUCCAAUAUACAUAAUUUUCCAUCCGCACCACAAGGCGGUGCAAGCGGGUUUGUCAUUCAGUCUGACUUCCAACUUGCAGAUCCUGCUGAUUAUUUUGGUCUUAAAAAUUUUUCACGUUAACAGCACAUAUUUCAGCUCAACUGCAACACACAGUCCUAUAAAGUGCUGGAAACGAGUGUCCCGCGACUGACCUAAUAAGAGAUGUGUUGUGAUUGUAAAGCAGAGCUCUGGACGUGUGGACAGACAGUGACUGUAAUGAUGGACAUCUGCUCAUGAACAGUCUGGACAAAAUCAUAACCGCUGCUGGUCACAGUGCCAGAAGCUCCAGGGGGAGACCGUACUGGUAUCCCCCUUCUUCAGGCACACCUUCACACACACUCCAGCAUUCACUCAUAUCGCAGAGACCUGGCUGGGAUUGAACCAGAAUUAUGGUAACCUCAGUAGUUGGGGAAGGGACGGGUUGAUAAUUUUUAUUCAGCUUUAUUUUAUUUUUUCCAGUCUGGACAAAAUCAUAACCACUGCUGGUCACAGUGCCAGAAGCUCCAGGGGGAGACCGUACUGGUAUCCCCCUUCUGCAGGCACACCUUCACACACACUCCAGCAUUCACUCAUAUCGCAGAGACCUGGCUGGGAUUGAACCAGCAACCUCUGAACCCGUGAGGCAGCGCUCUUACCUGUGAGCCACAGGUCUCUUGUUGGAGUGUGUGAAGUAACUUAUAUUUGACUGUUGACCUGUGUGUUCCCAAUAAAGAUGUUAAAGAAAGCUGUGUAUGUGAUAUA
Molecule: long non-coding RNA, 1455 nt
Organism: Cyprinus carpio (common carp)
Lineage: Eukaryota; Metazoa; Chordata; Actinopteri; Cypriniformes; Cyprinidae
Source: Ensembl